UAUAUAUUGCUGAUGGAUUGUUUAGAAUGGGACAGUUUUAAUUGGACAUAAUGUUUUAAUCGCCAUUUUACAGAGUGCCAGCCAGUCAUUGCUGUUCUUUGCAUUGCUGAGGAGGACAGUCCUGCCAACAUAAUAGUUUGUUCAAUAACAGGAGACAAACAGAAACACAGAGGUGCUAUACAUUCCGAUGGAAAAUACAACAAAAGAAGAAUUUUAAGAAAGGUGAUGGUUGGGCACACACAAGAAGACAUAGAUCACAUGUGUCCAGGCAUAUGAGUAGACAGGAGUUUCAUACUCUGCCAAACUUACUUCAUCAGAGGAGCAGAAAGCUUCUCAAGAUCCCGCACUGCACACUUAGAUAUAGUCUUUGACUACAACAAGGGGAUGAAAGUACAGAGAGGUCCAAUUGAAAUCAAUUCUGUGCUGCGUCAUUUCUUCAUUCUGGAAGUCGAUGGACAUGAUUUAUCAUGGCAUCAGGUGUGCAGUUUGUCGACUAUCAGCAGUCUUGUUCACCAGUUGUGCAACUUGAGCUGGUAGCUUUAUUGCUUGAAGCCACAGCAUAAGAGGGGGAAGGUGCAGGCUCAUCAAAAAGUCUCAAAAGUUGAAACUAGGAAAAGAAGUUUGUCAAGAGUGUGAAUAUUUGCUUUGAAAACCAUCGUUACGAUGAUUUGGUUUCCUUUGAAACUUGAUACAUACUAUGUGUAUGUUGAAUGAAUUGAGAUGCUUAAAUAAAGAAUCGCUAUUCAAAUAUCAGGAAACUGCAUUUUUCAUACUAAAGGGUAAAUGAUGUCGCCAUUUCCUGUAUGUAUUUAAAUGAGAUAUGUUUCCACAAUUAAUAUUUUUAGGGAAUUUUUCUCAUCCUAAUGAAUGAGAUUAAAUUGUACAGCGUUAUAUGAGCUUAAUAUGUGUUUUCUGUUUCUUUAAAAUUGGUGAAAAAUUGUCAGAAGAUAAUUAGACCAGUAUCCAUUACUACAAUCAAAUAUACAGGGACAAACCCACUGGGCAUAUAAUAUAAUUAAACCCUGUUUAGGGGCACGAGGCAAACAGAGUUACUUUCAAACGUUAAAGCUGCACUCUCACAUUUUGGACGUUUUGACAACUUUUCUCAUUUUAUGUCUUGGAUUGGAACCAUCCAAUUUUUGCGAAAAAUUAAAUGGCAGAUUUUUCUAUUUAAGUUAAAACAUUGAUGUUUUAUGCACUUUUCUUAAACCGUUAGUAACAUUAAUUUUUGAACGGAAAUAUGAAAUCUGUGAUCUGAUCUUUUGUCAGCAAUCUUUUAUCAUUGGUUUGCAGAUAAUUACGCAAAAAAUUGCUCAUUCAAAAACAAAAAUAGUUGUGAAAACGGUAUAUCUGUGGGAGUGCAGCUCUAAAUGUUGAAUUUCUUGAUUUUACUACUGUAUUAGAAAUUACAGGGGUUGGGGCAUUUUUUUAGUGUUUUUAUUGCUUUUUAUUUUCAUACAGUCAUACUUUAUUCCUCAGGGCAUAACUUACAAAUAGACAAAACUGGAAAAUGGUCGUUUCAAAAGGCCAAAGAUAAUGCAAGUUGAACAAUCAUAUUGUUCAUGGCUUGUAUUUUUGGUGUAUUUUGUUGCAUAUGCUAUAGAAAAGUUGAAAGUUAAAAAUAAAUUCAUAGUUGAAAUGAUGGCUUUGAAUGGUAUUGUCAGAUGAGAAACGGCACUUUUAAGAAAUAGGUAUAAUGGUACUUUAUUUAUUUUGAUCAAUUUUAGAUAUUGUAUGAAAAUUAUUAUCUUAUUUAGUACAUGAGACCUUUUAAACAGUUAUUGACAAUAUAACAAUGUGUAUAUGAAGCUUUAGAUCAACACUUCAAGCUGCACUCUUACAGAUUGUCAGUAAAGACACAAAAUUGUCUCAAAAUCUGCUGAUUUGGUUAUCAUUCCUUUAAUUCAGUCAUAUUAGAUAAUUCACAAUAGAACCCAUCAGAAAUGUAAAAGUGCUGAAAAUUUCAUUUACAUUAAAUUGUUCGUAAUGCUUUUAGCCAUAAAACAUCAUUUUUUUAACAUAAAUAUGAUAAACUGCUAUCUGAUCUUUUUUCAGCAGUCUUAUAUCACUUAAAAUUGGGUCUAGACAUUUAUGCAAAAAAAUUGUCCAUUUAUAGACAAACAAUAAAAGAGUACCGGUAGUCAAAACGAUCAAUCGGUGAGAUUGCAGCUUUAAAUACACCUUUUAAGACCGCUGUAAAAUUCCAAUGGUUUGCCUAAAUCUUUAAAGCUUGCAUACUGUUUAAUUAACAACCAUACUUAUUGUUUAAAAGUGUCAUGAUAUCUUUGUACAAUGUUUUUAUAUAAUUCAUUAAAGAAGU
Mya arenaria is the source of this 2320-nucleotide long non-coding RNA. RefSeq lists it as uncharacterized. Lineage: Eukaryota; Metazoa; Mollusca; Bivalvia; Myida; Myidae. The transcript is spliced from 3 exons. The record is from RefSeq and is a predicted model, not a curated record.